RNAcentral lists this ribosomal RNA (254 nucleotides) under uncultured bacterium. RNAcentral describes it as "partial 16S ribosomal RNA". It matches the Rfam family "Bacterial small subunit ribosomal RNA", at positions 524 to 776 of the family's 1533-position model. The record is from RNAcentral.
UACGGAGGGGGUUAGCGUGUGUUCGGAAUUACUGGGCGUAAAGCGCGCGUAGGCGGACCAGAAAGUUGGGGGUGAAAUCCCGGGGCUCAACCCCGGAACGGCCUCCAAAACUCCUGGUCUUGAGUUCGAGAGAGGUGAGUGGAAUUCCGAGUGUAGAGGUGGAAUUCGUAGAUAUUCGGAGGAACACCAGUGGCGAAGGCGGCUCACNGGCUCGAUACUGACGCUGAGGUGCGAAAGUGUGGGGANCAAACAAG